AGGCAGAGAAGCCAGGUCACGUCUCUGCAGUUACACAGCUCACGAGUGCCUGCUGGGGUGGAACCUGGUCUGUCUGUCU
Molecule: microRNA precursor, 79 nt
Filed under: Tursiops truncatus (common bottlenose dolphin)
Lineage: Eukaryota; Metazoa; Chordata; Mammalia; Artiodactyla; Delphinidae
Description: microRNA 370 (ENSTTRG00000021859.1)
Rfam family: mir-370 microRNA precursor family
Source: RNAcentral